Molecule: unclassified non-coding RNA, 495 nt
Filed under: Hevea brasiliensis (rubber tree)
Lineage: Eukaryota; Viridiplantae; Streptophyta; Magnoliopsida; Malpighiales; Euphorbiaceae
Source: RNAcentral
GGAUUUAAUGUCUUUAUUUGAUGUGUUUAUGUUUAUUAUUUAAUUGUUUAUCUUAGUUUAGUUUUAUCUUUAAAUAUCUAUUCAUUUUAAGAAAUUUACAAUUUUUUAAAAAAAAUUUGUAUAGGGAUAGGCCAUUACCGUUACUUACAAGCUUAUUUCCGUUAUCUGUGACUGUGAUUUAAAUCCAUGCUACCCAUAAUUAAUGCAUUCCCACUUAUUGCCACACCAGUGGACCAUCAGUUGCCACCUCAUUUGACAAUGCCACGACACCACAUCAGUAACCCUUCGACAUCAACAAUUUUUGGCAGAACUGUACCCCAUUAAUUCUGAUAUUUGAAGAACAAUCGUAAAUCCAAAUUGUGUUUUAAUGAGAUUUUAUUUAUCCGAAAUUUAAAGAUUACAAGUUGAAAUCGAUGACUAUUAAGGUUCAAUUAGAUGACAUAUGUUAUUUGAAAGAUUCUUACAUUGUGUUGAAUAUUGUCCUCCUAACUUAUU